CUCUUUCCUCUAUUUUCUCUCUCUCCUCUCUCGACUGUCAUCACCCAACACCAUUGAUAAGAUUACUCCACCCUUCUCUGCACAUUCGUUAUCCCUUCAGUAAGAAGUUAAACCAUCAACUCCUCAUUCAAGCAACAACAGAACGAUUCUCAACCGAAACCUCUUAAGGUUCCCUCUUGAGCCCUUAUCUCAUUUACUCAACUGUAAAUUCAAGCAUAUCAAUGGUGUCAUUCCAGUAAACCACCAUACCAGU
This 253-nucleotide long non-coding RNA is filed under the name Salvia miltiorrhiza (redroot sage). RNAcentral describes it as "long non-coding RNA (SMIL_LNC013641)". The record is from RNAcentral. Lineage: Eukaryota; Viridiplantae; Streptophyta; Magnoliopsida; Lamiales; Lamiaceae.